Gorilla gorilla gorilla (western lowland gorilla) is the source of this 873-nucleotide long non-coding RNA. RefSeq lists it as uncharacterized. The transcript is spliced from 3 exons. The record is from RefSeq and is a predicted model, not a curated record. NCBI's taxonomy places the organism in Eukaryota, Metazoa, Chordata, Mammalia, Primates, Hominidae.
ACAGCCAUGAAUCCCUUGUGAACACCGCGUGCCCCUGUGCGUGUUCUUCUGUGGCUGCGGAAGGCUGGGGCCGUGAACGUUUUUUCUCUGCUGGGUGCCUCAUGUUGGGACUCAGCCUGUCGGGGUCCGGCUCUUCUGUUCUGCGCACUGACUCUUAGGGGCUUUGUUCGGUCACAGUGAGCAGAAAACCGGUGUCUCCCUGGUGCAGCCUUGGAAGGGGCUGGACACCCACUCAUGGCCACAGAGGGCAGCUUCCGGGCGACGCUCCAACUCUGCCUCUCGGACUCCUCACGGAUACAGGCUUGUGUUUGAAACUGAUCAAUGUCCCCCCGGUUCCUUUCACAGACACCAGAAAGCGCGCGAAUACACCUCACAGUCUCCGAAGUCUCACUCUGAUCUUGGCUCACUGCAACCUCUGCCUCCUAAGUUCAACUGAUUCUCCUGCCUCAGCCUCACCAGUAGCUGGGAUUACAGACGCCCAUCACCAUGCCCGGCUAAUUUUGUAUUUUUAAUAGAGACAGGGUUUUGCCACGUUGGCCAGGCUGGUCUCGCACUCCUGACCUCAAGUGAUCUGCCUGCCUCGGCCUCUGGGAUUACAGACGUGAGCCAUCGCACUUGUGCGUGAAGGUUUUCUAACCUUCUAUCCGAUUUUCUAACCUCCCCAAGCCACAGGAUGAGAAAAGUGUGCGAUGCUCCCGCCUGAGGAAGCCAGCCCGGCCAACGCAGAGCCAAGGACCACUGAAGGCAUCGCCACCGCUACACGCUUGGAGCCAUCCAUGCCUGCAGCCGCGUUGAAUGCCUUCUGCUUCUUUCCUAUGGCAGCUUGAACUGGGUUACUUUUGCUUACAAAUGAAGUCCUCUAACUCAGGAAAU